UUUUAAGUUUUAAACCCUAGAUUUAAGAUUUUCUCUUUUAUAUAAAAGUCCCGGGAGCAAGGGCGUCCAUUAACACACAAGAUGUUUACAUUUUAUUGUCUUUUUAUUAAAUGAAGCAUGAUGCUGUAUAACUAUUCUCGACAUUAGGAUAAUACAUUAUAGUCUUAAGGAUUCCUUUAUAUUGUUUUUAAUUGUCAUCUUAUUGAUAAAAAAAGACUCAAUAAAAUAUAACUUAACUUAACUCAUUAAAGCAUUCUCAGCCAGUUCCACGAUAUCGAAAGAACACGUUCGCACAACUUUUACACGACAAACAGCUGAUUUCCGUUCCACUAAAAUCCAUCAGAACGAAAAUUUGCACGAAAAUCAAAGCGAACGAAAACGUAAGCAUUUCAGUGUAAUUUUGCGUUCCACUAUCUUUUUUCUUUCGUACGCAUGCGAACACAAAUGUCAAAAUCAGUCACUUGUGUGUUUGCUAUCGAAUAAUAACAAUUAAGGAAAAUUGUUUUAACAUUAACAUUGCUUGAUUGAAAAUGGAAACAAAAAUCACGAAAAAAUCAUCAACUACACAGCUGCGGGCACUAGUAUAUGGAGGAGAAUCCUGUGUUCACCAGAGGAGUGCCAAUUUUUGGAAGCAGCAGAAGAAGUUUUAAAUCGGGGCGGAUUCUCCACUUCUCUUCCAUCAUAUCCAAAAGAGCCCGAAAACUUCCUUCGACACACGAAAAUUGGCCACAAACCUUGAAAAAAUUAUUAUUAUUAUUUUUUAUUAUUUCAAAAAUGUAAAAAUACAAUCAUACUUACUGGUUGUUAGGUACUUCAAAUAAAUUCGAAGCAUCUCUUAAA
Molecule: long non-coding RNA, 840 nt
Organism: Musca domestica (house fly)
Lineage: Eukaryota; Metazoa; Arthropoda; Insecta; Diptera; Muscidae
Exons: 2
Source: RefSeq, a predicted model, not a curated record